UACUAUACGGCCGAGUCAGAGAACCUCCACGAGUAUCCCCAUCCCAUAGUCGACUACCUCGUCGAACUGGUUCUUCGGGUCAGGUCUCGAGUGAACCUCCUCCUCGAACAGUUCCUCUCCGUCCGGUUGCGAGAAAACGUCCUCGUCGAAGCUUUCUUCUUGCUUCUACUUCGGCGCAUGUUCGUCGUCUAUCGUUGAGAGUGCGUCUCCUUAGUUCGACUUCGUUUCUUUUCGUUCUCACUGCACCGGUUCGAGGUUCUGCUCUAUUCCUUCGAGUGACCACAAGAAUUCCGAUCCGUACUCCUUCUGUUCGACUCGACCCUCGCGUAAGUUCCGCAGAACUUCCGAACCCUACUAGCGUUUCGACGAGCACUUCGAAGUUGAAGAAGACCACAGAUACUGUAUGACCUAAUGAAGAACCAGAUAAAAAGUCUGUUUCCUGGUUCGUUCUUCUUACGACCUCGACCCCAGUUCUGAAGAGCUUGUCCACCGUUAAGAGUACUGAACAUC
This 510-nucleotide ribosomal RNA is filed under the name Triticum aestivum (bread wheat). RNAcentral's name for it is "partial small subunit ribosomal RNA". Lineage: Eukaryota; Viridiplantae; Streptophyta; Magnoliopsida; Poales; Poaceae. The record is from RNAcentral.